GGUCGCCUUAUCCACUGACGACCCGUCAGCGCUAAACGCGAGGCGGGACUCGGCGCGGAGCGGGAGCAAACUUCCCCAAGAUUGGCCACCGCUAUGUGCCGUCACGCUUUCCAAGUCAUUGGCGUUACAAACGAGGAAACUAUUCGGGCCUCGAGUCAUUCAGCCGGUCAUUCAACAAACGUAUACGGUUAGUAUCUUCUGGGUAUACCCAGCACUGGGGCACUGGAGGAGGAAGAGGAGAAAGAUAAGUAUGGAUAAACACGUGUGAAAUCCUUUCUUCUUUGCACAUCCAUUCUUUCAUUAAAUAUCCUUAAAAUCCUA
Long non-coding RNA from Leopardus geoffroyi (Geoffroy's cat), 321 nucleotides. RefSeq lists it as uncharacterized. The transcript is spliced from 2 exons. The record is from RefSeq and is a predicted model, not a curated record. NCBI's taxonomy places the organism in Eukaryota, Metazoa, Chordata, Mammalia, Carnivora, Felidae.